UGCUCUCUGCCCUGUGCGUGAGGUUGCUAUGCCCACGCGGAAUAAUCUUGAAACGGGAACGCUUCCUUGAGCGUGGUGAGCCAGCCCACCCCGAGUGGGACGCCUGAAGCACUCAUAAGUGAACCCACCUUAUUGGCCAUCGUUGUGCGGCCACGGACCCACGGCAGGCGUGGAGAGCUA
RNAcentral lists this non-coding RNA (180 nucleotides) under Desulfuromonadales bacterium. Its description in RNAcentral is "6S RNA". It matches the Rfam family "6S / SsrS RNA". From Rfam's summary of the family: E. coli 6S RNA was the first non coding RNA to be sequenced, but its function was unknown until recently. Lineage: Bacteria; Pseudomonadati; Thermodesulfobacteriota; Desulfuromonadia; Desulfuromonadales. The record is from RNAcentral.